AGAGUUUGAUCCUGGCUCAGAGCGAACGCUGGCGGCAGGCUUAACACAUGCAAGUCGAGCGGACCUUUCGGGGUCAGCGGCGGACGGGUGAGUAACGCGUGGGAACGUGCCUUCCGGUUCGGAAUAACCCUGGGAAACUAGGGCUAAUACCGGAUACGCCCUUAUGGGGAAAGGUUUACUGCCGGAAGAUCGGCCCGCGUCUGAUUAGCUAGUUGGUGGGGUAACGGCCUACCAAGGCGACGAUCAGUAGCUGGUCUGAGAGGAUGAUCAGCCACACUGGGACUGAGACACGGCCCAGACUCCUACGGGAGGCAGCAGUGGGGAAUAUUGGACAAUGGGCGCAAGCCUGAUCCAGCCAUGCCGCGUGAGUGAUGAAGGCCUUAGGGUUGUAAAGCUCUUUUAUCCGGGACGAGAAUGACG
This 420-nucleotide ribosomal RNA is filed under the name Methylobacterium oryzae. RNAcentral's name for it is "bacterial SSU rRNA". It matches the Rfam family "Bacterial small subunit ribosomal RNA", at positions 8 to 456 of the family's 1533-position model. The record is from RNAcentral. Lineage: Bacteria; Pseudomonadati; Pseudomonadota; Alphaproteobacteria; Hyphomicrobiales; Methylobacteriaceae.